GAUUAGCGGCGGACGGGUGAGUAACACGUGGGCAACCUGCCUAUAAGACUGGGAUAACUUCGGGAAACCGGAGCUAAUACCGGAUACGUUCUUUUCUCGCAUGAGAGAAGAUGGAAAGACGGUUUACGCUGUCACUUAUAGAUGGGCCCGCGGCGCAUUAGCUAGUUGGUGAGGUAAUGGCUCACCAAGGCGACGAUGCGUAGCCGACCUGAGAGGGUGAUCGGCCACACUGGGACUGAGACACGGCCCAGACUCCUACGGGAGGCAGCAGUAGGGAAUCUUCCGCAAUGGACGAAAGUCUGACGGAGCAACGCCGCGUGAACGAAGAAGGCCUUCGGGUCGUAAAGUUCUGUUGUUAGGGAAGAACAAGUACCAGAGUAACUGCUGGUACCUUGACGGUACCUAACCAGAAAGCCACGGCUAACUACGUGCCAGCAGCCGCGGUAAUACGUAGGUGGCAAGCGUUGUCCGGAAUUAUUGGGCGUAAAGCGCGCGCAGGUGGUUCCUUAAGUCUGAUGUGAAAGCCCACGGCUCAACCGUGGAGGGUCAUUGGAAACUGGGGAACUUGAGUGCAGAAGAGGAAAGUGGAAUUCCAAGUGUAGCGGUGAAAUGCGUAGAGAUUUGGAGGAACACCAGUGGCGAAGGCGACUUUCUGGUCUGUAACUGACACUGAGGCGCGAAAGCGUGGGGGAGCAAACAGGAUUAGAUACCCUGGUAGUCCACGCCGUAAACGAUGAGUGCUAAGUGUUAGAGGGUUUCCGCCCUUUAGUGCUGCAGCUAACGCAUUAAGCACUCCGCCUGGGGAGUACGGCCGC
Molecule: ribosomal RNA, 815 nt
Filed under: Peribacillus simplex
Lineage: Bacteria; Bacillati; Bacillota; Bacilli; Caryophanales; Bacillaceae
Description: bacterial SSU rRNA
Rfam family: Bacterial small subunit ribosomal RNA
Source: RNAcentral